This 77-nucleotide transfer RNA is filed under the name Lachnospiraceae bacterium. Its description in RNAcentral is "tRNA-Pro". It matches the Rfam family "tRNA". From Rfam's summary of the family: Transfer RNA (tRNA) molecules are approximately 80 nucleotides in length. Their secondary structure includes four short double-helical elements and three loops (D, anti-codon, and T loops). Further hydrogen bonds mediate the characteristic L-shaped molecular structure. tRNAs have two regions of fundamental functional importance: the anti-codon, which is responsible for specific mRNA codon recognition, and the 3' end, to which the tRNAs corresponding amino acid is attached (by aminoacyl-tRNA synthetases). tRNAs cope with the degeneracy of the genetic code in two manners: having more than one tRNA (with a specific anti-codon) for a particular amino acid; and 'wobble' base-pairing, i.e. permitting non-standard base-pairing at the 3rd anti-codon position. Lineage: Bacteria; Bacillati; Bacillota; Clostridia; Lachnospirales; Lachnospiraceae. The record is from RNAcentral.
CGAGGUGUGGCUAAGUUUGGUAUAGCGCUGCGUUCGGGACGCAGAGGUCGCAGGUUCAAAUCCUGUCACCUCGAUCA